UGGUCCCUACGGGGGGCAGCAGUGAGGAAUAUUGGUCAAUGGGCUUACGCCUGAACCAGCCAAGUCGCGUGAGGGAAGACUGCCCUAUGGGUUGUAAACCUCUUUUGUCAGGGAGCAAUUGGCGCUACGUGUAGCGUUAUCGAGAGUACCUGAAGAAAAAGCAUCGGCUAACUCCGUGCCAGCAGCCGCGGUAAUACGGAGGAUGCGAGCGUUAUCCGGAUUUAUUGGGUUUAAAGGGAGCGUAGGCCGGCUUUUAAGUCAGCUGUGAAAGUCCGCGGCUCAACCGUGGAAUUGCAGUUGAAACU
RNAcentral lists this ribosomal RNA (305 nucleotides) under uncultured bacterium. Its description in RNAcentral is "bacterial SSU rRNA". It matches the Rfam family "Bacterial small subunit ribosomal RNA", at positions 333 to 634 of the family's 1533-position model. The record is from RNAcentral.